GAAAUGCGAUAAGUAAUGUGAAUUGCAGCAUUCAGUGAAUCAUCGAAUCUUUGAACGCAUCUUGCGCUCCUUGGUAUUCCUUGGAGCAUGCCUGUUUGAGUAUCAUGAAAUCUUCAAAGUAAAUCUUUUGUUAACUCAAUUGGUUUCUACUUUGGUAUUGGAGGUCUUUGCAGCUUCACACCUGCUCCUCUUUGUUCAUUAGCUGGAUCUCAGUGUUAUGCUUGGUUCCACUCGGCGUGAUAAGUUAUCUAUCGCUGAGGACACUGUAAAAGGUGGCCAAGGUAAAUGCAGAUGAACCGCUUCUAAUAGUCCAUUGACUUGGACAAUACUUUUAUGAUCUGAUCUCAAAUCAGGUAGGACUACCCGCUGAACUUAAGC
Molecule: unclassified non-coding RNA, 378 nt
Filed under: plant metagenome
Description: partial contains 5.8S ribosomal RNA, internal transcribed spacer 2, and large subunit ribosomal RNA
Rfam family: 5.8S ribosomal RNA (bases 1-105)
Source: RNAcentral